Molecule: ribosomal RNA, 810 nt
Filed under: uncultured bacterium
Lineage: Bacteria
Description: bacterial SSU rRNA
Rfam family: Bacterial small subunit ribosomal RNA
Source: RNAcentral
AGAGUUUGAUCAUGGCUCAGAACGAACGCUGGCGGCGUGGAUAAGACAUGCAAGUCGAGCGGGAUUUCUUUCUGUAGCAAUACAGGGAAAAGUCCAGCGGCGAACGGGUGCGUAACACGUGGGCAAUCUGUCUUAAAGUGGGGGAUAGCUCGGCGAAAGCCGAAUUAAUACCGCAUGUGAUCAGGGAAGACAUCUUUCCAAAAUCAAAGGUGGCGCAAGCUACCGCUUUUUGAGGGGCCCGCGGCCUAUCAGCUUGUUGGUGAGGUAACGGCUCACCAAGGCUAUGACGGGUAGCUGGUCUGAGAGGACGACCAGUCACACUGGGGCUGAGACACGGCCCAGACACCUACGGGUGGCAGCAGUCGAGAAUUUUUGACAAUGGGGGAAACCCUGAUCGAGCGACGCCGCGUGGAGGAUGAAGGUCUUCGGGUUGUAAACUCCUGUCAUUUGGGAACAAGGCGCACGUAUUAACUGUACGUGCGUUGAUAGUACCAGAAGAGGAAGAGACGGCUAACUCUGUGCCAGCAGCCGCGGUAAUACAGAGGUCUCAAGCGUUGUUCGGAUUCAUUGGGCGUAAAGGGUGUGUAGGUGGCGCCGUAAGUCGGGUGUGAAAUUUCGGAGCUUAACUCCGAAACUGCAUUCGAUACUGCGGUGCUUGAGGACUGGAGAGGAGACUGGAAUUUACGGUGUAGCAGUGAAAUGCGUAGAUAUCGUAAGGAAGACCAGUGGCGAAGGCGGGUCUCUGGACAGUUCCUGACACUGAGACACGAAGGCCAGGGGAGCAAACGGGAUUAGAUACCCUAGUAGUCC